Molecule: ribosomal RNA, 483 nt
Filed under: Planctomycetaceae bacterium
Lineage: Bacteria; Pseudomonadati; Planctomycetota; Planctomycetia; Planctomycetales; Planctomycetaceae
Description: partial 23S ribosomal RNA
Rfam family: Bacterial large subunit ribosomal RNA
Source: RNAcentral
AAUCAAGCGCGAGAAGGGCGUUUGGUGAAUGCCUUGGCAGUAAGAGGCGAUGAAGGACGUGAUACUCUGCGAUAAGCUAGGGGGAGCCGAGAAUAGGCUUUGAUCCCUGGAUUUCCGAAUGGGGCAACCCACCUGACACCGUUCAAUUACGGCUCGCAAGAGCCGCUAAUUGGACGAUGAACCAGGUAUUUAUGACCUGAAUACAUAGGGUUAUAAAGGCAAACCCGGGGAACUGAAACAUCUAAGUACCCGGAGGAAAGGACAUCAAUAGAGACUCCGUCAGUAGCGGCGAGCGAACGCGGACCAGCCGAGCCUUGAGAGCGACCAGAACAAUCUGGAAAGAUUGGCCAUAGCGGGUGACAGCCCCGUAUGGGAAGUUUGAUGGGACGUAUCAAGUAGGGCGGGACACGUGAAAUCCUGUCUGAAGAUCGGAGGACCACCUCCGAAGGCUAAGUACUCCUUACUGACCGAUAGUGAACCAGU